GAGUUUGAUCAUGGCUCAGAACGAACGCUGGCGGCGCGUCUUAAGCAUGCAAGUCGAACGGCAAGAGAGGAGCUUGCUCUUCUCCUAGAGUGGCGGACUGGUGAGGAACACGUGGGUAAUCUACCCUUAAGAUGGGGAUAGCCGUUAGAAAUAGCGGGUAAUACCGAAUAGCCUUAAAGCGUCAUAAGAAGUUUUAAGGAAAGGAAGCUAAGGCUUCGCUUAAGGAUGAGCCUGCGUCCCAUUAGCUAGUUGGUAGGGUAACGGCCUACCAAGGCGACGAUGGGUAUCCGGCCUGAGAGGGUGAUCGGACACAUUGGGACUGAGAUACGGCCCAAACUCCUACGGGAGGCAGCAGCUAAGAAUAUUCCGCAAUGGACGGAAGUCUGACGGAGCGACGCCGCGUGGAUGAAGAAGGCUGAAAAGUUGUAAAAUCCUUUUGCCGAUGAAGAAUAAGGAUAAGAGGGAAUGCUUGUCUGA
This 477-nucleotide ribosomal RNA is filed under the name Treponema sp. canine oral taxon 170. RNAcentral's name for it is "bacterial SSU rRNA". It matches the Rfam family "Bacterial small subunit ribosomal RNA", at positions 9 to 476 of the family's 1533-position model. The record is from RNAcentral. Lineage: Bacteria; Pseudomonadati; Spirochaetota; Spirochaetia; Treponematales; Treponemataceae.